This 1472-nucleotide ribosomal RNA is filed under the name metagenome. RNAcentral describes it as "bacterial SSU rRNA". It matches the Rfam family "Bacterial small subunit ribosomal RNA". The record is from RNAcentral.
AGAGUUUGAUCCUGGCUCAGAAUGAACGCUGGCGGCGUGCUUAACACAUGCAAGUCGAACGAGAAAGGGAUUGCUUGCAAUCCUGAGUAGAGUGGCGCACGGGUGAGUAACGCGUGGAUAAUCUACCUUCGAAUUUGGGAUAACAUUGCGAAAGCGGUGCUAAUACCGGAUGAAAUUACGUACUCUUCGGAGUAUGUUGUGAAAGAUGGCCUCUGCUUGCAAGCUAUCGUUUGAAGAUGAGUCCGCGUACCAUUAGCUAGUUGGUAGGGUAAAAGCUUACCAAGGCUACGAUGGUUAGCUGGUCUGAGAGGAUGAUCAGCCACACUGGAACUGGAACACGGUCCAGACUCCUACGGGAGGCAGCAGUGAGGAAUUUUGCGCAAUGGGGGCAACCCUGACGCAGCAACGCCGCGUGAGUGAUGAAGGCUUUUGGGUCGUAAAGCUCUGUCAAUGGGAAAGAAAUUAUAUGCGUUUAAUAGAUGUGUAUAUUGACGGUACCCAUGAAGGAAGCACCGGCUAACUCCGUGCCAGCAGCCGCGGUAACACGGGGGGUGCAAGCGUUAUUCGGAAUUAUUGGGCGUAAAGGGCGCGCAGGCGGUAUUACAGGUCAGAUGUGAAAGCCCGGGGCUCAACCCCGGAAGAGCAUUUGAAACCGUAGUACUUGAGUAUGGUAGAGGAAAGUGGAAUUCCUGGUGUAGAGGUGAAAUUCGUAGAUAUCAGGAGGAACACCGGUGGCGAAGGCGACUUUCUGGACCAAUACUGACGCUGAGGCGCGAAGGCGUGGGGAGCAAACAGGAUUAGAUACCCUGGUAGUCCACGCAGUAAACGUUGAUCACUAGGUGUAGCGGGUAUUGACCCCUGCUGUGCCGCAGCUUACGCAUUAAGUGAUCCGCCUGGGGAGUACGAUCGCAAGAUUAAAACUCAAAGGAAUUGACGGGGGCCCGCACAAGCGGUGGAGCAUGUGGUUUAAUUCGACGCAACGCGAAGAACCUUACCUGGGUUUGACAUCCUGAGAAAGAUCUGGAAACAGAUAAGUGCCCUUCGGGGAGCUCAGUGACAGGUGCUGCAUGGCUGUCGUCAGCUCGUGUCGUGAGAUGUUGGGUUAAGUCCCGCAACGAGCGCAACCCUUAUCUUUAGUUACCAUCAUUAAGUUGGGGACUCUAGAGAUACUGCCCCGGUUAACGGGGAGGAAGGUGGGGAUGACGUCAAGUCCUCAUGGCCCUUAUAUCCAGGGCUACACACGUGCUACAAUGGUAUGUACAAAGAGAAGCGACCUCGCGAGGGCAAGCCAAUCUCAAAAAGCAUAUCUCAGUUCGGAUUGGAGUCUGCAACUCGACUCCAUGAAGUUGGAAUCGCUAGUAAUCGUGGAUCAGCAUGCCACGGUGAAUACGUUCCCGGGCCUUGUACACACCGCCCGUCACACCAUGAGAGUUGACUGUACCAGAAGUCGUUGGGGUAACCCUUCGGGGAGC